RNAcentral lists this ribosomal RNA (242 nucleotides) under uncultured soil bacterium. RNAcentral describes it as "partial 16S ribosomal RNA". It matches the Rfam family "Bacterial small subunit ribosomal RNA", at positions 27 to 264 of the family's 1533-position model. The record is from RNAcentral.
GGGACGAACGCUGGCGGCGUGCUUAACACAUGCAAGUCGAACGGUGAUCUUGAGAGCUUGCUCUUGAGUGAGCAGUGGCGAACGGGUGAGUAACACGUGAGUAACCUGCCCCAGACUCUGGAAUAAGCGCUGGAAACGGCGUCUAAUACCGGAUAUGGCACUAAACCGCAUGGUUAUGGUGUGGAAAGUUUUUCGGUCUGGGAUGGACUCGCGGCCUAUCAGCUUGUUGGUGAGGUAAUGGC